AUUGAACGCUGGCGGCAGGCCUAACACAUGCAAGUCGAGCGGAUGAAGGGAGCUUGCUCCUGGAUUCAGCGGCGGACGGGUGAGUAAUGCCUAGGAAUCUGCCUGGUAGUGGGGGAUAACGUCCGGAAACGGGCGCUAAUACCGCAUACGUCCUGAGGGAGAAAGUGGGGGAUCUUUGGACCUCACGCUAUCUGAUGAGCCUAGGUCGGAUUAGCUAGUUGGUGGGGUAAAGGCCUACCAAGGCGACGAUCCGUAACUGGUCUGAGAGGAUGAUCAGUCACACUGGAACUGAGACACGGUCCAGACUCCUACGGGAGGCAGCAGUGGGGAAUAUUGGACAAUGGGCGAAAGCCUGAUCCAGCCAUGCCGCGUGUGUGAAGAAGGUCUUCGGAUUGUAAAGCACUUUAAGUUGGGAGGAAGGGAAGUAAGUUAAUACCUUGAUGUUUUGACGUUACCAAAAGAAUAAGCACCGGCUAACUUCGUG
RNAcentral lists this ribosomal RNA (484 nucleotides) under uncultured bacterium. RNAcentral describes it as "partial 16S ribosomal RNA". It matches the Rfam family "Bacterial small subunit ribosomal RNA", at positions 30 to 507 of the family's 1533-position model. The record is from RNAcentral.